Molecule: non-coding RNA, 46 nt
Organism: Drosophila simulans
Lineage: Eukaryota; Metazoa; Arthropoda; Insecta; Diptera; Drosophilidae
Source: Rfam
CAAACCGUCCUUUUCAGGACGACCAAAUUAUUACCAAAGAAUUUAA